CCUGUGAGCAACUAUAAAUACAGUGGACAUAAGUGGAUACUUUUGUGCAGCAGUGUCUUUGAAGUCAAACCCACAUGUUUGAACAGUUGGCUUUUUGCAGGUUAAGCUCGGGAUGGUCUGAAGUACACAUGUGAUGGGUUUCCAGAACUCAGCUGGUGGAUGGUAAUAUUUGGAACCAUGAAAGACUUCUUGGAAAUCUCCAGAGCCAAGUUCAGAAAUCAGUCACUGCCUCCCUAAUGUUUCCUGAGUAUUUUUCCUCUAUUCCUAACUUAAGAGGCUGGUGGUGUGGUUUUGGGUCAUAACUCCCACUGGAGUAUUAAGGCGUACAAAGAUAAAGAAUCAAGAC
Gymnogyps californianus (California condor) is the source of this 346-nucleotide long non-coding RNA. RefSeq lists it as uncharacterized. The transcript has 3 exons. The record is from RefSeq and is a predicted model, not a curated record. Lineage: Eukaryota; Metazoa; Chordata; Aves; Accipitriformes; Cathartidae.